ACGUAGGGAGCGAGCGUUAUCCGGAUUUAUUGGGUGUAAAGGGUGCGUAGACGGACUUACAAGUUAGUUGUGAAAUCCCUCGGCUUAACUGAGGAACUGCAACUAAAACUGUAAGCCUUGAGUGCAGGAGAGGUAAGUGGAAUUCCUAGUGUAGCGGUGAAAUGCGUAGAUAUUAGGAGGAACACCAGUGGCGAAGGCGACUUACUGGACUGUAACUGACGUUGAGGCACGAAAGUGUGGGGAGCAAACAG
Molecule: ribosomal RNA, 251 nt
Filed under: uncultured bacterium
Lineage: Bacteria
Description: partial 16S ribosomal RNA
Rfam family: Bacterial small subunit ribosomal RNA
Source: RNAcentral